Molecule: ribosomal RNA, 586 nt
Filed under: uncultured bacterium
Lineage: Bacteria
Description: bacterial SSU rRNA
Rfam family: Bacterial small subunit ribosomal RNA
Source: RNAcentral
CCUACGGGAGGCAGCAGUGGGGAAUUUUGGACAAUGGGCGAAAGCCUGAUCCAGCAAUGCCGCGUGAGUGAAGAAGGCCUUCGGGUUGUAAAGCUCUUUUGUCAGGGAAGAAACGGUGAGAGCUAAUAUCUCUUGCUAAUGACGGUACCUGAAGAAUAAGCACCGGCUAACUACGUGCCAGCAGCCGCGGUAAUACGUAGGGUGCAAGCGUUAAUCGGAAUUACUGGGCGUAAAGCGUGCGCAGGCGGUUUUGUAAGUCUGAUGUGAAAUCCCCGGGCUCAACCUGGGAAUUGCAUUGGAGACUGCAAGGCUAGAAUCUGGCAGAGGGGGGUAGAAUUCCACGUGUAGCAGUGAAAUGCGUAGAUAUGUGGAGGAACACCGAUGGCGAAGGCAGCCCCCUGGGUCAAGAUUGACGCUCAUGCACGAAAGCGUGGGGAGCAAACAGGAUUAGAUACCCUGGUAGUCCACGCCCUAAACGAUGUCUACUAGUUGUCGGGUCUUAAUUGACUUGGUAACGCAGCUAACGCGUGAGUAGACCGCCUGGGGAGUUACGGUUGCAAGAUUAAAACUUCAAAGGAUUGACGGG